UGCCGAUCUCGAAAACCUGUCCCAGUUCGGACUGGAGUCUGCAACCCGACUCCACGAAGUUGGAUUCGCUAGUAAUCGCGCAUCAGCCAUGGCGCGGUGAAUACGUUCCCGGGCCUUGUACACACCGCCCGUCAAGCCAUGAAAGCCGGGGGUACCUGAAGUACGUAACCGCAAGGAGCGUCCUAGGGUAAAACUGGUAAUUGGGGCUAAGUCGUAACAAGGUACC
Molecule: ribosomal RNA, 226 nt
Filed under: uncultured bacterium
Lineage: Bacteria
Description: partial 16S ribosomal RNA
Rfam family: Bacterial small subunit ribosomal RNA
Source: RNAcentral